GAUGAACGCUGGCGGCGUGCCUAAUACAUGCAAGUCGAGCGAACGGACGAGAAGCUUGCUUCUCUGAUGUUAGCGGCGGACGGGUGAGUAACACGUGGAUAACCUACCUAUAAGACUGGGAUAACUUCGGAAAACCGGAGCUAAUACCGGAUAAUAUUUUGAACCGCAUGGUUCGAAAGUGAAAGACGGUCUUGCUGUCACUUAUAGAUGGAUCCGCGCUGCAUUAGCUAGUUGGUAAGGUAACGGCUUACCAAGGUAACGAUGCAUAGCCGACCUGAGAGGGUGAUCGGCCAGACUGGAACUGAGACACGGCCCAGACUCCUACGGGAGGAAGCAGUAGGGAAUCUUCCGCAAUGGGCGAAAGCCUGACGGAGCAACGCCGCGUGAGUGAUGAAGGUCUUCGGAUCGUAAAACUCUGUUAUUAGGGAAGAACAUAUGUGUAAGUAACUGUGCACAUCUUGACGGUACCUAAUCAGAAAGCCACGGCUAACUACGUG
Molecule: ribosomal RNA, 497 nt
Filed under: uncultured bacterium
Lineage: Bacteria
Description: partial 16S ribosomal RNA
Rfam family: Bacterial small subunit ribosomal RNA
Source: RNAcentral